Amblyraja radiata (thorny skate) is the source of this 275-nucleotide long non-coding RNA. RefSeq lists it as uncharacterized. The record is from RefSeq and is a predicted model, not a curated record. The transcript has 3 exons. NCBI's taxonomy places the organism in Eukaryota, Metazoa, Chordata, Chondrichthyes, Rajiformes, Rajidae.
UGAAGGCUGAUAAAUCUCCAGGGCCUGAUGGUCUACAUCCCAAGGAUUUGGGUAUUGUAAGCCAAGUUUACAGCUGAGGAGGAGAGCCAGCAUCUGGCUGAUGGAGGGAAAAGACAAGGCCAGCAAUUGAUAUUUUAAAUGAAAAGGGGGAGGUACAGCUUGCAUUUCGAACCAAAAAUGCAACUGAAUCUUCCAGGAAUGAGAAACGUAUAAUAAACAAAUCUUCAGCAAAUUGUUCAAUCCCAAAUACCGGCUCUGCGAAUGAAGUCACCACA